Molecule: long non-coding RNA, 634 nt
Organism: Panthera uncia (snow leopard)
Lineage: Eukaryota; Metazoa; Chordata; Mammalia; Carnivora; Felidae
Exons: 3
Source: RefSeq, a predicted model, not a curated record
UCCCAGCACCUGGUGUUUCCUCUUGCUGCAAGUUGGUCCCUGGCUGCCCGUGAGCAGAGGGUGGCCAGAGGAAGAAGAGCUGGCAAAGGAGGGCCACAGGGAACCCAGAGGGCACAGAGACAAAAGCCAAUGUGUGGGUCUGGAGACAGACAGUUCUGAUGCCAGUCCACCUAGCAGAUUCCUGUGCCCAUGCACACAGGCCACGGGGCUCCACAGGCAGAUAGCAGAAUGCGGCAAUGUCGAGGAUGUCACUCUGGGAUUAGAUUACAAAAGACUCAGGACUCUCCCUUUUGCUAGCUUUGAUGAAGCAAACUGAUGUGUUGGGGAGGCUCAUGUGCCAAAGAACUGAGGGUGGCCUCAGUCCAACAGUCCACAGGAACUAUGUCCUGCCAUCGACCACAUGAAUGAGCUUGGAAGGGGACCCCACCGGUGGAGCUUUCCGAUGAGACCACAGCCCCAGCCAACACCUUGACUGCAGCUUCACAAGAGACCUCAAGCAGAGGACCUAGCUGAUGCUCGAAUUCCUGACCCACAGAAACUGUGAGAUCACAAAUCUGUGCUGUUUUGAGCUGCUAAGUGUGUGAUAAUUUGUUGUGCAGCAGUUGAUAACUAAUGCACCUCCAAAACUUCGUGA